ACCGCUGGCUCUUCUGGCCCUUCAUCCUGCGGAGGCAGGGGCCCGACGAGACGAGAGAGGCUGGAGGGCACCACUCCAGACAGACGGAUGGACAGACAGGGGCCACACUCAGCACCCCCAGCACUCACAGGGAUGUGUCCUCCCAUCUCGAUGUGACUCCAGAUACCUCUGCACCCCUUGCAGGGCAGAGGUGGGGUCAGCCACGGGGGCACAUGUGUCCCUCAGUGGGAGUCAGGGGCCACGAAAGCGAUGGAGGGGUGCCGAGGAUGAGCGGCGAAAACAGGCAGAAGGGUCACCUGAGUCCACAUCCUUGGCCAAUCUGGCAGCACGGUCGCUGUCCCCCGGGGGCUGCAGGUGCAUCAGGUUCCUGGAGCCCAGAGCCACCAACACCACCUGUACAGCCACACACGCAGCCCAGCUCAGCCCUGCUGGGCUGCAGCCCGCGAGGGAGGCCAGGGAAGGAGGUGCCGGGCCACGGUCCCCCACCGGCCUCCCGCUACAGCUACCUGGGUGGCUGGGCCUCCCUCCACCCCUGGGGGACCCUGGGCCUCCCUGGCAGGCCCUGGACAGUCUGCUUAACAGCUUCACAUCAGCGUCUUCCAGGAAGUUUUGGCUUCUGGAAAAGGAGCACACUCCCAGAAUGACUUGUAAGAACGUGUUUGAAGCUGAGCGUGUAACUCAGGCACCGUGAAAGGCGCACGUCCUGUGUCCUGCUGGUUACACAUUCACCCGUCUAUGCCCGUGAGACCCCACCUCUGUAAUGGGAUCCACAUGGAGCCCCCAGCACCUCUGAGAGCCCCUCGUGCCCCGUGUCCCUUCCCAGUCACUCUCCCAGGGUAACCUCUCCUCUGACCUCUGACCUCCGUCACCUCCGUCGUCAACUCUUGACGUCACGUAAACCGAAACUUCUCUCCCUUGGCACCAGGAAUGUUCACUCCGUGAGCUCCCUCCCAAGGCUCUAGGGGAGCACCUUCCUGCCCUCUCCAGCCUCUGGGGGCUCCGGGGGCUCCUUGGCUUGUUCAUGUGGCCUCACCGCCAUGUUGGAAUUUCCCUCUUCUUAGAAGGACCCCGGUCAUCAGAUCGGGGCCCACCCUGCUCCACCGUGACCAAGACUUAACUUGAUUACAUCUACAAAGACCCUAUUUCCAAAUAGGGUCCCAUUCUGAGUUGACAUGAGUCUAGGCAGGGGAUGGGGACAUUGCUCAACCUACCGUCGUAUGUGAUCCAAGAACUCAAUGAGAAAAGCGCCAGGCCUCAAACAGCAUUAUCAGCUCAGAGUCAAGCAAAAUGAAACAUUCUUUAAAAAAAAAUUUUUUUUAAUCUUUAUUUAUUUUUGAGAGAGAGACAGACAGAGAGCGAGCGGGAGAGGGGCAGAGAAAGAGGGGGAGACACAGACUAGGAAGCCGGCUCCAGGCUCUGAACUGUCAGCACAGUGCCUGUCGCGGGAUUCGAACUCGCAAACUGCAAGGUCAUGACCUGAGCCAAUCGGACGCUUAGCUGACCGCGCCCCCCAGGCGCCCCAGAACACUCUAUCUGACACAAGGUGCACUACGUUUUAUACACACGGAUCACCCCUCCCCAGAGCAAGAGCCCGGCAGCAGGUGGAGAGGCUCCGAGAGGCUGGUGUGCGGCUUCCCCCUGGGGUCACCUAUUUCCUGACACUCCUGGGGCUCCGGGUUCGGGUGCUGGGGACUCAGACCAGAAAGGGAGCUGCCACCAUUUUAAGGUCUUAUCUGCUGAUCCCCGAGCCACCCCUCGCCUUUCUGCAGAGCCCGGCAAGUUGUGUCCUGCCGGGAAGUCCCAGGAGACACCAACGGGGCGAAGUCUGGUUUGCGCGGGCCGGCUUCCAGCACCGCCGCUUCGGAUGUCCGUUUGCUCCAACAUCGACCAUCCCCUGGGCCGGAGGGGGGUGACCUCGUCUGCGCUGGGGUCAGGAGUCUGCCGUGCCAGCUUCGUGACCGAUCACGACGCCAGCUCAGAGUCUCGACCCCUCCUGCCUGAGCGCUCCGCUCUUUGCUCUUGAGGAUUGUGGAACAGCCUCAGGG
Acinonyx jubatus (cheetah) is the source of this 2045-nucleotide long non-coding RNA. RefSeq lists it as uncharacterized. The transcript has 3 exons. NCBI's taxonomy places the organism in Eukaryota, Metazoa, Chordata, Mammalia, Carnivora, Felidae. The record is from RefSeq and is a predicted model, not a curated record.